CCUGUCCAUCCACAGGGUCCUCCAGGGUGCAUCUUCCGUGCGUGAGUGCUGCACGAGUUCCUUUCAAGACCUGCCCACCUAUCCAGAAUUCAAGUGAAAAAUGGCACCCAAGGAUGUGGGAGUUUUCACAGGUGCGCUCUGCAGGAGACGCCUGUGUGGCCAGCUGAUGGAGUACAUUAAUUGAUUUUUAGAUGCUGAAGUAGCCUUGGAUGCCUGAGAUUAAUCCCACCUGGUCAUGGUCAUUCAUCUCCAGAGCAAUAUGCAAUACACAGAAGAAAAUUUAAGCAAUCCACAACCUUCCUGGACCAAAGAUUCAGAAGCAAAGGCUGAAAAGAG
Long non-coding RNA from Camelus dromedarius (Arabian camel), 336 nucleotides. RefSeq lists it as uncharacterized. The record is from RefSeq and is a predicted model, not a curated record. NCBI's taxonomy places the organism in Eukaryota, Metazoa, Chordata, Mammalia, Artiodactyla, Camelidae. The transcript has 3 exons.